AAGUGAGGAUGGGGGUUGUGUUUUUGAAGUCCUGGUUUGCGAGGAAAGUUAGUUUUCUAGGCUAUCAGAUCACCACACAAACUCUGACAAGAAAAUAAAUUAUAAAGACAUAUUCAAGCAGGACUGGGGGUCACGUGAUACACAGCGGCAGGAGGACGUCAUUGCGGAUCCUCAAAAUACACGGUCCACUCACUGCAGGCAAAGAACACAGUGACGGAGAUGAGCAAACCAUGCCAGAGAGAGGGGAUAGACGCUGCUGGAACUGCGGGAGCCCUAGUCACCUACAAGCCAGGUGCUGCUGCCGCCCAGUACCGUCGACAUCAGAAAGCGUUCAGCCAGCGUGGAAACAGGAGCCUGCUGCUCCACCAGCUUCCUCUUUUACUUAAGAAAGCGCAUUUCGUCCCCCCGAACCUAAACUUUCAAUACCGCUGUACAACUGUCAAAAACAAUUUAGAAUGAUUCAUUAUGAAAUCCCUUCAAGACAGACUGAGAAUGUUUUUCUAUCUUGUAAAGGUCCUGUAUGUGUUAUGCAUGUGUAAAAUGAUCAUGUGUUUAGGAAGCUUAAUUAGUACCAGUCCCUGUAGAACCGAAACACAUGUAUCUAUUUACUGUGCAGGAAAAUGGUCAUUCAAUAAUCAUCUGUAUCAUAACAAUUGGAAACAGACUCUUUUUUAUAUCUUUCUUCUUUUAAAUUCUUGUCAUUGGGGGUGUACUGUUGCAAGAAUUAUAUGUAUGAACCAAUAAACUAACAGUACGAAUAAACUAUCCAAAUUACCAUAUCAGUACCAGUGACAGUGUAUCUAAACCACUACUGUGCAGUAUUACCAGAGAGAGGGACAUAUUUUCAAAGCGUUUACUGCAGUCUUGAAUUAACUCCUAUUUUUUUAUAGAAGAAAAUGACAUGUAAAUAACACACAACUGAGAAGCAAAAAUCUUUACAAUGCUUCAAAUGUCAAGAAUAGUAGUACAUAAGUUGUCUGGUUCUGGUUUUGUAAAAUCAGUAGCUGUUUUUCGCUUUUCAAAAUAUAGGAGUCAAUUAAAGACUGGAGUAAACACUGAGUAUAUUUCAUUAUGUUCUAAAAUGUAGGGUGAUUAUAAUGCGCUGCUGCGGCUGCUGAAAUAAAAGUAAAUGUAACAUACUUUUAUCAUUUUAAAUUGAAAUUCGUUUGACUUUUGUAUUUA
Molecule: long non-coding RNA, 1182 nt
Organism: Acipenser ruthenus (sterlet)
Lineage: Eukaryota; Metazoa; Chordata; Actinopteri; Acipenseriformes; Acipenseridae
Exons: 3
Source: RefSeq, a predicted model, not a curated record